CCGGAACCUUCUGGUGCAGAACCUUCCUUGGUAUCUGAGGUUGACGACGUGCCCUGGGGGCUGCAGAAUCCCCCUCCCCCAAGAAAGGCGGGGCUUCCUACCAGUCUCUGGUCAGGAAGGGACUCCCACCCAGGCCUAGGGCCAUGCAGUCUGGGCCUGGGGCUAGCCCCUCACAACUGUCCAUCCAUGUCAAACUCCCAUAUCCGUAACGUCCUGGGAAUUUUUGAGAAACCCCCCUCUUCCCUCGCAUUCGACCAAGCCAGAGCCUGACGCCAAGACCCCAGGAAGGUGAGUCCUGGCUUCUCCUCUCCUGUCAAAGGACCUGCCAGGGGCCGUCCUCAGGCACACCUCCCUGUCCUGUAUCGGGACUCUCCUCAGGCCAGGCCCUGUCUCUCAGUAGGGGACAGGCUCUGGGUCAGCUGUUCCUGCCCAGGCAGUCUCAACAUCAAAGCUACGGUGACGGUCCAUGUGCACCCAUCACGCUGAGCUCAGCUCUGUGAACACGUGGAGGGGAGGCCAGCUUGAGCACCGCUGCCUGAUCAAGUGGCCUGUGAGUCCCUAGGCCUGAGGAGGGCAUCGCUCAACGGAGAGAAACAGCUCAGGUGGUGGGGAGAGGCAGUGUGCCCACAGGCCCCUCCCCAGAGGGCUGCUUGAUGGGCAGGUGUGCACACAGGUGUGCACACAGGUGUGCAGGGCCCUGGGCAGGGCUGCUCCACUCCAGGCUCUGGGUCCUCAUCAGGGAAGUGGUGGUGGCCUGCCCACCCCCUGGGGAGGACCCUGGAGCUGCCCCUGGGACCUCUGGUAAGCAGGACAGAGCUGGAGGCUGAGGCCCUGAGCUCAGAUGUGAGGAGCUGGUUGGGAACCCAGGGCAAGCGGUAGCUCUGCUGACGGGGCUGAAGGCCCCGCGUUGUGCCCUGUCCUCCCCGCAG
This 929-nucleotide long non-coding RNA is filed under the name Marmota monax (woodchuck). The record is from RNAcentral. Lineage: Eukaryota; Metazoa; Chordata; Mammalia; Rodentia; Sciuridae.